CCAACGGCCCUCUUUAGGGCCACAACUAUUCAAUAAAACUAUCUGU
Non-coding RNA from Steinernema glaseri, 46 nucleotides. NCBI's taxonomy places the organism in Eukaryota, Metazoa, Nematoda, Chromadorea, Rhabditida, Steinernematidae. The record is from Rfam.